Molecule: ribosomal RNA, 599 nt
Filed under: Natronococcus sp. SLA-3
Lineage: Archaea; Methanobacteriati; Methanobacteriota; Halobacteria; Halobacteriales; Natrialbaceae
Description: bacterial SSU rRNA
Rfam family: Archaeal small subunit ribosomal RNA
Source: RNAcentral
GUAACUACGGGAAAUCUCCCCGCCUAACGGGGAGGCGUCACGGUGGAAAUCGCGGCUUGGGACCGGAAGACCAGAGGGGUACGUCUCGGGGUAGGAGUGAAAUCCCGUAAUCCUGGACGGACCACCGGUGGCGAAAGCGCCUCUGGAAGACGGAUCCGACGGUGAGGGACGAAAGCUCGGGUCACGAACCGGAUUAGAUACCCGGGUAGUCCGAGCUGUAAACGAUGUCUGCUAGGUGUGCCACAGGCUACGAGCCUGUGGUGUGCCGCAGGGAAGCCGUGAAGCAGACCGCCUGGGAAGUACGUCCGCAAGGAUGAAACUUAAAGGAAUUGGCGGGGGAGCACUACAACCGGAGGAGCCUGCGGUUUAAUUGGACUCAACGCCGGACAUCUCACCAGCAUCGACAGUAGGAGUGACGGUCAGUGUGAUGAGCUUACCCGACCUACUGAGAGGAGGUGCAUGGCCGCCGUCAGCUCGUACCGUGAGGCGUCCUGUUAAGUCAGGCAACGAGCGAGACCCGCACUCCUAAUUGCAGCAACACCCUGNGGUGGUACGUACAUANGAGACUGCAGUGCGACUCUGAACCGUCCCAUAGCUGA